UAGAUAAAGGGUUAUAAAUAUAACAAUAAGCUUUUUUGCAGCUUUAUAUAAUAAAGCGAAAAAAAGUAAAGCAGUUAGAUUUAAUAAAUUUUUAUAGCAUUUAAAAAUACAAAAGACUUUUAAGGGGGCUCUAAAUAUAAAUUAUUACUAAUAUUUUUAAUAGUCAUUUAGAAAUAUCUUAAUAUAUAUUAUUAAGAGCUUUCGCUAUGGGAUGAGGCUAUAUUGUAUCAGCUAGUUGGUUAAGGUAAUGGCUUACCAAGGCUAUGACGCAUAACUGGUCUGAGAGGAUGAUCAGUCACACUGGAACUGAGACACGGUCCAGACUCCUACGGGAGGCAGCAGUAGGGAAUAUUGCUCAAUGGGGGAAACCCUGAAGCAGCAACGCCGCGUGGAGGAUGACACUUUUCGGAGCGUAAACUCCUUUUCUUUGGGAAGAAUAAGCUCAGCAGCUCCGGCUUGCCCAAAAUGACGGUACCAAAGGAAUAAGCACCGGCUAACUCCGUGCCAGCAGCCGCGGUAAUACGGAGGGUGCAAGCGUUACUGAUUCCGACUGGGCGUAUAGGACGCGUAGGUGGAUAGAUAAGUCUCUUGUGAAAUCUAGUAGCUUAACUACUAAACUGCUUGGGAAACUAUCUAUCUAGAGUAAGGGAGAGGCAGAUGGAAUCUUGGUGUAGGGGUAAAAUCCGUAGAUAUCAAGAGGAAUACUUAUUGCGAAGGCGAUCUGCUAGAACUUAACUGACACUAAUGCGUGAAAGCGUGGGGAGCAAACAGGAUUAGAUACCCUGGUAGUCCACGCCCUAAACGAUCCAUACUGGUUGUUGCUGUGCUAGUCAUGGCAGUAAUCCACCUAACGGAUUAAGUAUACCGCCUGGGGAGUACGGUCGCAAGAUUAAAACUCAAAGGAAUAGACGGGGACCCGCACAAGCGGUGGAGCAUGUGGUUUAAUUCGAAGAUACGCGAAGAACCUUACCCGGACUUGAUAUCUAACAAAUCAUCUAGAGAUAGAAGAGUGUCUGCUUGCAGAAAUGUUAAGACAGGUGCUGCACGGCUGUCGUCAGCUCGUGUCGUGAGAUGUUGGGUUAAGUCCCGCAACGAGCGCAACCCACGUGUUUAGUGUUCAAAGUUAGGCUGAGCACUCUUUUCAGACUGCCUUCGUAAGGAGGAGGAAGGUGUGUUCGACGUCAAGUCAUCAUGGCCCUUAUGUCCGGGGCGACACACGUGCUACAAUGGCAUAUACAAUAAGACGCAAUAUCGCGAGAUGGAGCAAAUCUAUAAAAUAUGUCCCAGUUCGGAUUGGAGUCUGCAACUCGACUCCAUGAAGCCGGAAUCGCUAGUAAUCGUAGAUCAGCCAUGCUACGGUGAAUACGUUCGUUAGUC
This 1377-nucleotide ribosomal RNA is filed under the name uncultured bacterium. Its description in RNAcentral is "bacterial SSU rRNA". It matches the Rfam family "Bacterial small subunit ribosomal RNA", at positions 96 to 1380 of the family's 1533-position model. The record is from RNAcentral.